UUGAGCCAAUGCUGGUUCUUUUCAUGUCUUGUUUUUCAAAUUUAAGGAAUUUCUUUUUCUUUUCAGCUAUGUACAGCUUACAGCAAUUUGAUAAAGUAUUCUUUUGUACAUAAAAAUGGAAACAUUUGCUUUUCUUCCCUACUUGAUCUCUCCAAAAUUCAGAAACUAUUAUUUUCUCUAAUAUCUGGGUACAACUCUUCAACAAAGAAUGAGAACUGCUCUGUUCCUGAAACCCUAUAGCCAAAGUUUGACAAUUCAAUAUACAUUCCAAGGGACAAGUCUCAUGCCUGAUGUUUGAGCCACACAGAUAGUUUGUGAGAAUGUCUGAUGCCACAACUGAAGAUAUUCAAACUGCAAAUUAGGAUAAGUCUCUGACUUCAUGCUGUGGAUAGCUUUUCACAAAACCAGAGGAAUAAGACUCCAUACCAUAGUGGUUCAAUUCAUCAAGACCCUGGCUUAGGAGCAUACUCCAAACUCUUGGUAAUAUCUUCCUAAUAGUCAUACAAAUAGUCUGCCUGGUGCAUUAUUUUUUCUUGAAAAGUUUUAACUUUUUGCACACAGCUAUCUGUCAAAUAUCAAAUGGUUUUCCUUCAGUGCAAAGAAAUGCAUUUUCAUGAGAACACUGUAACCUACCAAUGACAUGUUGAGACU
This is a long non-coding RNA of Homo sapiens (human), 651 nucleotides long. RefSeq lists it as uncharacterized. The transcript is spliced from 3 exons. Lineage: Eukaryota; Metazoa; Chordata; Mammalia; Primates; Hominidae. The record is from RefSeq and is a predicted model, not a curated record.